RNAcentral lists this ribosomal RNA (207 nucleotides) under uncultured bacterium. RNAcentral describes it as "partial 16S ribosomal RNA". It matches the Rfam family "Bacterial small subunit ribosomal RNA", at positions 568 to 774 of the family's 1533-position model. The record is from RNAcentral.
AGCGCAGGCGGUUUUUUAAGUCUGAUGUGAAAGCCCUUGGCUCAACCAAGGAAGUGCAUCGGAAACUGGAGAACUUGAGUGCAGAAGAGGACAGUGGAACUCCAUGUGUAGCGGUGAAAUGCGUAGAUAUAUGGAAGAACACCAGUGGCGAAGGCGGCUGUCUGGUCUGUAACUGACGCUGAGGCUCGAAAGCAUGGGUAGCAAACA